Long non-coding RNA from Zingiber officinale, 291 nucleotides. RefSeq lists it as uncharacterized. Lineage: Eukaryota; Viridiplantae; Streptophyta; Magnoliopsida; Zingiberales; Zingiberaceae. The record is from RefSeq and is a predicted model, not a curated record. The transcript has 2 exons.
UCUUCUGGGAUAAAUGAUGUGUUAACCACUGUUUAUAUUUUCAUUUGUACAGGUACCAUUGAAUCUUGACUAUAAUUAAUGAAGAUAAGAAUAUGAUAUAUUUAUUAGACUCUUUGAGUAACAGGAACCGAGACUAAGCUUGACAAACUAUUGUGACCAAUGGGGUCAAGAUAUACAAUGCUUCAAGGAGUAUUUCAAAAGGACCAGGUUUUAAACAAUUGACAGUAUGUAUUGUGACUAUGUAUUUAGACAACAAUUAAUAAUUUUUAUUAUUUGGAUUGUGACUUCUUG